Molecule: long non-coding RNA, 2625 nt
Organism: Pelmatolapia mariae (spotted tilapia)
Lineage: Eukaryota; Metazoa; Chordata; Actinopteri; Cichliformes; Cichlidae
Exons: 3
Source: RefSeq, a predicted model, not a curated record
GAUGGAGAAAGAAUACAGGACAGGAAGAGGAGAGCUUAUAUUUAAAGGUAAGGACGGCUCAGUGGGAUAUAAACUGAAAGCUUACAUGGAAGUCUUCACGUUCUCAUAUUGCUGCAAAGCAAACUAACUGUGUUAUUUAAAGAGCACAUGAAAGUCCUCUGCAGGUUAGUGCAGGAUAAUCAGGUUAGUUUACAGUAAAGAACUGUGUGACAGUGGCUGUGGUGCUCGUGGUUACAUCAAGAGUAACAGAGAUGAACAUGAAUUUCAGCUGGUGAUGCUUACAUGUAGAAAAAAGACGGUGGAAACUGUCAGUGUAGAGGAUUGAAAUCAGCCAGGACAGCUCAUCAAAUACCUGCUUACAUCUUGUUGAUUUCAGUUUCUACAAAGAGCCACUGCAGCUGAUUUUAGGAUUCCCCACCUGCUAAAUCACACUGUGAGAUGGAAACUCCUGCUGAGCAAAAGAAACAAAGGCUGCUCUCUGUUCUGCCAGAAAGCAUCUUGAUGAUCCCCGAGACUUCUGGGAAAAUACUCUGUGGCCUGUUGAACUGUCUCUGCUGCUCGUCUGCAGAGUGACGAGUGUCUCAGCCUUCCACACAGUGAGCCUUUUCUCUUCAUUUUGAUUGUAUCAUGGAUCUGUUGUUUGAUCUCUCCUGGUUUAUUUCUCACAGAUCUCACUCGCUACAGUGACUACAAUAAAAACAUCCUGUUUGUGGAACAGCACAUCUGAUCACUCUGCACUGCACGCUCAAUACAAAUCUCACUGCCAUUUCCGUCCUUCCAUGUGUUAAUCUGAACUGGAACCAAAUGAAGCAGAGUGUAAUCACCUCCUACGAGCCCUCCUGUCUCAGGAAUCCUCCUGCAAAGCCACAAGUCAGCUGUUUCCUGCUCGUCCAAAGUGAACAGUCAUGAAAAGAUCAAUUCAUAAAGAAGUGAAGCAGCAGCAUCAGUCAUGGACGCACAGGUGUUUUUGGAGUCUGUUUUGUGGCACCACCAGCCUGGAGUGACUGGAGCUCCACUGGAUCAUCACCAGUAGGAAGAACAAAAACAACCACGUGGAACAUUUUUGUAGCAUUGCUGCACCAGCACACACUGGAUGUGAUCUGGGAAUGCAUUUCCUUGCAACAUGUACUCAGAUAUUUAUGCAAUACUUAUGUAAGAAUGCUGUUAGUUGACUUCAGCUCAGGUAAAGUUCUUCCCUCCAAGCUGAUCACCAAACGUGUGGAUCUUAGACUCAACAACUCCAUCUGUACCUGGAUCGUGGACUUUCUGACUAACAGACCUCAGCAUGUUAGGUCAGGCCAUAACUGCUCUACCACCAUCACACUCACACUGGCACUCCACAGGGCUGUGUGCUGAGCCCGUUCCUCUAUGACUGCAGACCUUAGUAUGCAUCCAACUCCAUCAUCAAGUCUGCAGAUGACACCACGGUGACUGUCUCAUCACUGACAACGAUGAGUCUGCUACAGGGAAGAAUAAAGCACCUACCUGUGUGGUGCUGACAAUAACUUGCUCCUGAAUACCAGCAAAACCAAAGAGCUCACUGUGGACUUCAGGAGAGAGGAGACAGACACCCAUGUCCCCAUCUGCAUAAAUGACACAGCUGUUGAACGGGUCUCCAGCUUCAAGUUCUUGGUGAUCCACAUCUCUGAGAAUAUGUCCUGGUCAACUGACACCUCCAGCCUGGUCAAGAAGGCCCAUCAGUGCCUCUCUUUCUUGAGGACACUGAAGAAGAACCACCUGUCUGCUGACAUACUGGGUAACUUCCACCACUGUACGAUAGAGAGCAUCCUGAACAACUGUGUCACAGUCUGGUGUGGGAACUGCUCUGUUGCUGACCGCAAGGCACUGCAGCGGGUGGUGAAAACUGCCCAACGCAUCACAGGGACUCCACUUCCUGCCAUUGAGGAUGUCCACAAGAAGAGAUGUCUAUGCCGAGUAUGCAUCAUUCUCAGGGACUCCACUUCCUGCCAUUGAGGAUGUCCACAAGAAGAGACGUCUAUGCCAAGUAUGCAUCAUUCUCAGACUCCUCUCAUCCUGCCAAGAAACUCCUCCAGCUCCUCCUCCCCUCCAGGAGGCGCUACAGGAGCCUUCAGACUAAAACCAGCAGGUUUAGGAGCAGCUUCUUCCUCACAGCUGAACUCAGCCUCCUGCUGAACCUUUCCAUCCACACUCACUGAACCCUUCUACACUCCUCCUCCCAGUGACCAUGAUCAUUCUCAACAUUCACCACAUGCUCACACUGGUUACUGCUGUAGUUUUAGGACACUGACAGAGUCUCUGUUAUAGUGCCUACACUGGUCACUAGUCUGUUCAGAGAGCUACACUUCCACUGCUGUAGAUAUAUUCAUAGCUCUGUAGAUCUGUUUACCUCACACUGAUACAUCUGUACAUAUGUAGCACAUCUGUAUAUUUGUCCAUAGUACACCUGUAAAUCUGCCCGUCUGUACAGCAAUAUAAAACAUCUGUAUGCUACACAUUUGUUCAGCUGUAUGUUUGGUCUCUCUGUUCAUGACUAUUUCACCACUUAUACUACCCUUAUCUGUACAGACCAGUACAUGUUGCUCUCUACUGAACUUACUGUAUAUAAUCUGCUCUUAUUGCACUUACUGAUUAGAUGCAAACUGU